RNAcentral lists this long non-coding RNA (1104 nucleotides) under Gossypium barbadense (sea-island cotton). RNAcentral's name for it is "long non-coding RNA (GBAR_LNC010695)". Lineage: Eukaryota; Viridiplantae; Streptophyta; Magnoliopsida; Malvales; Malvaceae. The record is from RNAcentral.
AAUAGUACUGUAAUAAUAAUAAAAAUGCUAAUAAUAGUUGUAGGUACCCAAAUUUACCCGAGCCCAAAAUCGUUAAUCAACCCAAACACAAAAAAGAAUAAAAAAACAAAAAUCCAAUCUACAAAUGGCCCAAAUAAAAAUUUUAAACCCCUAACCCAAAACCCGGAUAGCCCUAUAGGCCCAAAACCGAAGCCAAUUUCGAAACCCUAGUUUCCCCUAGUGUCGUACCCCUCCCACGUGCGUCGUCGGCGCGUCCAACGCCCGAGGUUCGGCUCCCCUUUGUCCCGUUGCUCCAAAACGGCCAUUUACGGCCCCGUUGACCUUUGUGCGUCUGCAAAAGAAAGCAAAAAAAAAAAGAAACAAAACAAGACCACAAAGCAAAAAGGAAGCAAAGAAACAACAAAGGCAUAGGCAAUAGUAAUAACGUUAAAUCAAGUGUAUUUUUUUCUGCUAUAUAAGCCCAGAAACAAAAUGUUGUAAAGGGUACACACAGCAUAUUGAGCAAUCAAAAAGCAAAAAAAAAAAAAAGGUUGACUGUUUCUAUUUUUCAUUUUCGUUUCAUUUUAUAUUUUUCAUUUUCGUUUCAUUUUAUAUUUUUUUAUUUUAUAUUUUUUUUAUUUUCUAUUACAAAUUUAUUUUAAACAAAAUAAGAGAAGAAACCUCACUGGAUAAUCCCACGUCACAUCAACGGAUCUAUUCCCCGUCGUCAAAAUCGGACUUAUAAGGGAGGGGGAGAGGCCUUUUCUUUUGCAUUUUCCGAGUUUGGAGGGCUUUGCUUUCGGACUCUCUUAAAAAGGGUUGAAAAUCUGGCCUUCGUGUGGCUCCGACCACCGUCCACGAUGGAGCCACGGCGAUUAUGGCGACGACGAUGAUGGGUUGAGAAACCCUAGCACAGAAAAUUUAUAGAAAGAGGGGCUGCUCAAAGGGAAGAAAUAAAAAAAAAGUGAAAAUUUUAGUUUAAAUAGCAGUGCCGUUUUGCACCAUAGGCACUAGCACUAAAACGGCGCCGUUUAAGGCACCCCGUGCGCGACCCGACCCUCUCCAUGGGGUGUCCGCGCAUUUCCAUGAAAAGGGUUAUUUACACCCCUAGUCCCUCUAUUUUUU